UCGUGGCUUUUGGCUUUGAGCCUGAGAGUAUCGCCUAGGGAUCGUACGAGUGUUAGUGAGCAUGUCGAUGUAUCGAUUGCUGGUCGAUCACCCGGGCAAAAUAUCGCAUUGAUGCGCGUUUUUUUGGCUGCUUGGAUAUUGGAAUGAUGCGAAUUGGCACAAAAUAAGUUAGCUGUAUGAUUGUUAUUUGUUUUGGAAAUAUAUAAUAUAUUUUGGCAUGAUAUGAAUCGACUUUAUGGCAUUUUCAGCUUGUGGCUAGGAGGAUGUUGGUGGUCAGGUGGCUGCAGGUUGGCACUGGUGGGUGCGCCGGGAAACGCUUUGCUAUCUUUUCGAUGGCGUCUGGCGGAUCUUGGUCUCAUUUUGGCUUUGCUGUGGUAUCUGGUAUGACUUGACAGCAGAAUUGAGAAAUUUGAACAAAUUGAUACUUU
Molecule: long non-coding RNA, 428 nt
Organism: Drosophila montana
Lineage: Eukaryota; Metazoa; Arthropoda; Insecta; Diptera; Drosophilidae
Exons: 2
Source: RefSeq, a predicted model, not a curated record